Molecule: non-coding RNA, 27 nt
Filed under: Mus musculus (house mouse)
Lineage: Eukaryota; Metazoa; Chordata; Mammalia; Rodentia; Muridae
Source: RNAcentral
UAAAACCUGGUGGUGGUAAUUCCCAAC